GCGUGUUGGUGUUAGCGACAAAGUGAGGCAGUGUCCCCCCCUCCCAGCUAGACCCCACACAGGAGCCUCCAUAGGCAACAGCCGUGGGUGCCUGGGGAGAUGGUGGCAGAGAAAGAUGGUUCGAGCCCCCCAAAACUCACUGGAGAGAGACCCCCACAACAACAGCAGCCACUGGGACAGCUGAGGAGAACCAAGCAGCAGGUCACUGAUGGAUUCACUGUUAAAGCCAUGAUGAGAAACUCUGUGACCAACAAACCCCAGGCAAGUCCCAAGAAAUGACAUUCUUUCAGCCUUCAGCAGACCUUUGGGCUGUGG
Chelonoidis abingdonii (Abingdon island giant tortoise) is the source of this 315-nucleotide non-coding RNA. NCBI's taxonomy places the organism in Eukaryota, Metazoa, Chordata, Testudines, Testudinidae. The record is from RefSeq and is a predicted model, not a curated record.